ACUCCUACGGGAGGCAGCAGUGGGAAUAUUGCACAAUGGGAAGGCCAUCGAUGCAGCCAUGCCGCGCUGUGUGAAGAGGCCAAUUCGGGCUUGGUUAAAGACACUUUUCAGUAGGGAGGAAGGUAGUGUAGUUAACACCUGCACUAUUUGACGUUACCUACAGAAGAAGCACCGGCUAACUCCGUGCCAGCAGCCGCGGUAAUACGGAGGGUGCGAGCGUUAAUCGGAAUUACUGGGCGUAAAGCGCAUGCAGGCGGCCUGUUAAGUCAGAUGUGAAAGCCC
This 282-nucleotide ribosomal RNA is filed under the name uncultured bacterium. RNAcentral describes it as "partial 16S ribosomal RNA". It matches the Rfam family "Bacterial small subunit ribosomal RNA", at positions 335 to 603 of the family's 1533-position model. The record is from RNAcentral.